This 261-nucleotide ribosomal RNA is filed under the name uncultured bacterium. RNAcentral's name for it is "partial 16S ribosomal RNA". It matches the Rfam family "Bacterial small subunit ribosomal RNA", at positions 793 to 1055 of the family's 1533-position model. The record is from RNAcentral.
GUCCACGCCGUAAACGAUGAUUACUAGGUGUAGGGGUAUCGACUCCCUCUGUGCCACAGUUAACGCAGUAAGUAAUUCACCUGGGGAGUACGGCCGCAAGGUUAAACUCAAAUGAAUUGACGGGGCCCGCACAAGCGGUGGAGCAUGUGGUUUAAUUCGAUGCAACGCGAAGAACCUUACCUGGCCUUGACAUGUCUGGAAUCCUGUAGAGAUACGGGAGUGCCUUCGGGAAUCAGAACACAGGUGCUGCAUGGCUGUCGU